UUUGGCACACAAAUUCUAUAUAUUUUAUGAAAAAUUUCGCUAAAAACAGAAAAAAUCGUGCUGAAAGUUUAAGCGCACCCUAGAACUGUAAUGCGAACGUGGCCCAAUUUGAGUUAUGUCCAGAUUUGACAGAUCAACAGCGAGGUGAGUAUUUUGACAAUUCUACGAAAAUGUAAACAAACCAAAAUUCAGUAUCAAUAAAGCAAAUGAAGAUAAAGAAGAAACCAAGGAUUACGUUGCAACAAGAAAAGUGGAAGUGGAAGCCCCGCGUAGGAAGCCAGCAACGCCGACAUAUUUAUUGUGGAGUGAAUAGGUACAAAUUGAAGUAAAAAAUUACACUUCUCAACAAGACUGGCAAUCAAAUCGCUCUAUUCUUAUGGCUUAUAUCCUCAUGUUUAACCCUGUAGGAAAGAGAAGGGCCGAUUACAGCGAAGGGAUCGAUGUCGCAGAAGUCGGAAAAAAUUCGCUUUGCAAUCUGACAUGCUUCAUUUGACGAGAUGGAUACAAGUCCAGAGUUAUUAUAAAGUUGAGGAAUCUCUUUACUUGGUGGUCAUUCAUAGCCAAUCCAAAUACAAAUACAAGUUAAAUUAAUAGCAGUAGCACAUUCAUGUAAUGUGCCACCAUCAUUUCAAUGCAAAACACUCA
Eupeodes corollae is the source of this 645-nucleotide long non-coding RNA. RefSeq lists it as uncharacterized. The record is from RefSeq and is a predicted model, not a curated record. Lineage: Eukaryota; Metazoa; Arthropoda; Insecta; Diptera; Syrphidae. The transcript has 3 exons.